RNAcentral lists this ribosomal RNA (723 nucleotides) under Campylobacter coli. RNAcentral's name for it is "partial 23S ribosomal RNA". It matches the Rfam family "Bacterial large subunit ribosomal RNA", at positions 467 to 1188 of the family's 2925-position model. The record is from RNAcentral. Lineage: Bacteria; Pseudomonadati; Campylobacterota; Epsilonproteobacteria; Campylobacterales; Campylobacteraceae.
UAAAUACUAAUACCAGAUCGAUAGUGCACAAGUACCGUGAGGGAAAGGUGAAAAGAACUGAGGUGAUCAGAGUGAAAUAGAACCUGAAACCAUUUGCUUACAAUCAUUCAGAGCCCUAUGUAGCAAUACAGGGUGAUGGACUGCCUUUUGCAUAAUGAGCCUGCGAGUUGUGGUGUCUGGCAAGGUUAAGCAAACGUGAAGCCGUAGCGAAAGCGAGUCUGAAUAGGGCGCUUAGUCAGAUGCUGCAGACCCGAAACGAAGUGAUCUAUCCAUGAGCAAGUUGAAGCUAGUGUAAGAACUAGUGGAGGACUGAACCCAUAGGCGUUGAAAAGCCCCGGGAUGACUUGUGGAUAGGGGUGAAAGGCCAAUCAAACUUCGUGAUAGCUGGUUCUCUCCGAAAUAUAUUUAGGUAUAGCGUUGUGUCGUAAUAUAAGGGGGUAGAGCACUGAAUGGGCUAGGGCAUACACCAAUGUACCAAACCCUAUCAAACUCCGAAUACCUUAUAUGUAAUCACAGCAGUCAGGCGGCGAGUGAUAAAAUCCGUCGUCAAGAGGGAAACAACCCAGACUACCAGCUAAGGUCCCUAAAUCUUACUUAAGUGGAAAACGAUGUGAAGUUACUUAAACAACCAGGAGGUUGGCUUAGAAGCAGCCAUCCUUUAAAGAAAGCGUAAUAGCUCACUGGUCUAGUGAUUUUGCGCGGAAAAUAUAACGGGGCUAAAGU